GUGCUCCCUUUGGCAGCACAUAUACAAAAAUUAAAAUGAUACAGAUAAGAUUAGCAUGGCUCCUGCACAAGGAUGACAGUCAAAUUUGUGAAGCGUUCCAUAUUUAA
Molossus molossus (Pallas's mastiff bat) is the source of this 107-nucleotide small nuclear RNA. The record is from RefSeq and is a predicted model, not a curated record. NCBI's taxonomy places the organism in Eukaryota, Metazoa, Chordata, Mammalia, Chiroptera, Molossidae.